UACGGAGGGUGCAAGCGUUAUCCGGAUUUACUGGGUUUAAAGGGAGCGUAGGUGGAUUGGUAAGUCAGCGGUGAAAUCUCUGGGCUUAACUCGGAAACUGCCAUUGAUACUAUCAAUCUUGAAUAUCCUGGAGGUAAGCGGAAUAUGUCAUGUAGCGGUGAAAUGCUUAGAUAUGACAUAGAACACCUAUUGCGAAGGCAGCUUACUACGGGAUUAUUGACACUGAGGCUCGAAAGCGUGGGGAUCAAACAGG
RNAcentral lists this ribosomal RNA (253 nucleotides) under uncultured bacterium. RNAcentral's name for it is "partial 16S ribosomal RNA". It matches the Rfam family "Bacterial small subunit ribosomal RNA", at positions 524 to 776 of the family's 1533-position model. The record is from RNAcentral.